Molecule: long non-coding RNA, 3864 nt
Filed under: Eutrema salsugineum
Lineage: Eukaryota; Viridiplantae; Streptophyta; Magnoliopsida; Brassicales; Brassicaceae
Description: long non-coding RNA (ESAL_LNC000967)
Source: RNAcentral
UUAUCAUAUGUAUUAAGCUAAAUGAGACUCAAGAAUGCAAAAGUCAAAUAAGAACAAAGAAAACAAGAUCAGAAAACACAAAGCUCCUCCCCCACACUUAAAUAACACAGUCCCUUGUGUUAUAAAAGCGUGUGAGAGAAGUAAAAAGACAAACUAAAUGCAAUAUGGUAUAUACAAGAGUUUGAAGUCGAUACCUCAGUCGGAGAGGUCUGAUCCCAAGUAGUACGAGGGAUUUGACGUUGAGCAGGAGGGCGUGGACUGACGUGGUGGGCUGCUUUCCGAGGGUUCCGGUAAGAAUGCCGAGGCAGGAUCGAUCCAGUCCUCUUUGCCUGGUGGAAACUCCGGGUUCCUCGCCUUAGUGCUUUCUCCAACCUCUUCUUGUGUAACCGGUGCGGUUGAGGUCGCCGAGUUCUUGUCUGGAGAAGAUGGUCUGGUGAGUUGCUUGACUUUCUUUUUCAGAUGCCUUACACAGUCCACCAACGCGUGAAUGGUCUUGUCUUGUCACUUACACCACUUUUGGAGAGUGUUCACUCGCGAAUACAGCUUCUUGGUAUGGUAUUCAGGCUCACCCCAGACGUAUGGAUCAAAAUGGUAUCGGCCUGCUCCUGUCCUUCUCUCAGCGUGCCUCUGUUCCUCAUUCUCAUAUCCGACCAGGCCGUUCUCGUUCUGCGGCUUGCUAGGUGCGGUCUUGGUGCACUUGCGCAUUGGUGGGUCGAGAGAUGGGUUGUACAACUGAUCCUUGAGGACAUAGAAGGAGACGUUACACUGCUUAUCAAGCAUGGUGAGGCCUCGGUUAGGCAGUAGAACCUGUGUGCCGUCUCUGUGCAUCAGUGUGAAGUUGUAAACCCAUGUAUCCCCUGACUUGCCUCCAAAGAAUCCACUUUUACUUAGGUAUUGUUCAUCAAUGAGACUCGGCCUUGAUGGUGAAUCAGGGAAUAUGAACCCUUGAGCUCUCAAAAUCUUGGUGACUAUCCAACCGUUCUGAAGCCUCCUUGCUCCUUUCUUCUUUCGGUCACACCACACAUUGUGCUUGUAUGUAAGCAUUUGGAUUGCAAAGAACGCGCCUAGAGAGGGUACAUGCAUUGGCCCUUGGAACUCCUUCUUGUUCUUCAUUUUAGUGGGAGCGGCUUCAGUCCAAGUCCCAACAGCUCGAGCUCGACCGUAUGAAUAACACCAGGGUUAUAGGUCGAGAAGAAUGUGGAGGCGUGAACUCGGUUGGUGUAUCUGAUAGCAGGGUUCCUGAUGCAACUCGUCUUGCUCUUGCCUCCCAAGUAAGGUCCGAAAGCUAUUGUUUCUGAUACUUUCCACCUUAAGAUCGUCACUCUAAGCACUAGAUCUCACGAUUUUGAGCAGAUUUGGAUAUGAACUUUAGAUAGAAUGGGUGGAAAUGAUAGGUCACACAAAGGAUGCGGAAGGCCUUUGAUAUACCAGGGUGAUUCUAUGGAUAUGACACACCAAAGAAUCGGGUUGCUUGAAAGAUAUAACACACUCACAAGCUAAGAUGUUCAAGAGAACAAAUGAUCUAAAUUAGAAAGAGUUUUUUGGGUAGAAAAGAUAGAUGAGUUUAACAAGGAGCGUACAAGGGUUUAAAAAGAAAGAGAACAAGUCUGCGACAGCCAAGACUUGUCUCGGAAAUACUAAGACAAUAAAGACUAAGUUUGAAUAAGAAAGAAACAAGAAAGAAACUCUUUUUCUCUGGGCCAAUACUUCAAGUUUUGGGCCUCUUGUUGGAUCAGCGAAUGAGGGAUAUGAUGUGAGCCGUUUGUCUCAUUAAAAACCUCUCUUUGGAAAACCCAUUGGGACAAAACCAAAGGAGAGGGAAAAAGAGUGCAAACGGGUCACAUGCCCAUUCACUGAUCAUCUUGAGCCUGUAUAGAAACCAAUGCGGCUUGUAUAGCAACUUCUCCCUCCUGGCUCAAGACAUUGGCUCGUCUCCAACUGGUUCUAAGCAAGGCUCCGAUAGCUUCCUAAAGUUUCUUGCUCCUUGAUCUAGUUAUUGGACCGGCUGGCAUCUCCAAAGCUUCCUCUAUAUCCGGUUCCUCUUGUUCUUCUAGUCCAUCUUCUUGAGCUUCAAGUUCCAAGUCCUCUAGGCUGUCCAUGAUCGCAUCAUCCCCCUCCUCUUGAAAAGGAUUUGACCUCAAAUCUGGUUCAUCUGCCACAAAAGGAACAAGAUCAGAAACAUUAAAACUAGAACUGAUAUUAUACUUACCUCGCAGAUCAAGCUGAUAAGCAUUGUUGUUGAUUCUUCUUAUUAUGGUGAAGGGUCCAUCAAUUCUUGGCAUCAGUUUGGACUUUCUUUCGGCUGGAAACCGUUCUUUCCUCAAAUGUACCCAAACUUGAUCGCCAACUUCGAAAAUCAUCUCUCGUCGGUUCUUAUUUGCUUUCUUGGCAUAGAGCUUGGUCUUUUCUUCUACGUUGAGUUUAGCCUUCUCAUGGAUCUGUUUAACAAGUUCUGCCUUCUUCUUUCCAUCGAGACUAGUUCUCUCACUCAAAGGAAGAGGGGUUAGAUCCAAAGGAGACAAAGGACUAAAACCAUAGACAAUUUGAAAUGGGGAAAACUUAGAAGUAGAAUGCAUCUAGUGAUUAUAUGCAAACUCUACAUGCGGUAAGCAAUCUUCCCAACUUUUAAGAUUCUUUUUGACUAGAACACGCAACAAAGUGGAUAAGGUCCUAUUAACUACUUCAGUCUGCCCAUCAGUUUGUGGAUGACAAGUAGUAGAAAAUAGAAGCUUAGUACCUAACUUAGACCACAAUGUUUUCCAGAUAUAACUAAGGAAUUUCGUGUCACGAUCGGAUACGAUGGUCUUAGGCAUUCCAUGCAGACGCACAACUUCUUUAAAGAACAAGUUAGCUAUAUGAGAUGCAUCAUCGGUUUUGUUACAAGCUAUAAAAUGAGCCAUUUUUGAGAACCUGUCUACCACAACAAAUAUAGAAUCCUUCCCAGUCAUAGUCCUAGGCAAUCCAAGCACAAAGUCCAUAGAUAUAUCAAUCCAAGGAUGAGAGGAAAUAGGUAAGGGAGUAUACAAACCGUGUGGUCUGACUUUGGACUUAGCUUGUUUACAAGUGACACAUCGUUCGCAGAUCCUCUCUACGUCUCUCUUCAUAUGCGGCCAAUAGAAGUGGUCUUGCAUGAUUUUCAAAGUUUUUGUUACACCAAAGUGCCCCAUAAGACCUCCUCCGUGGGCUUCCCUGACUAAAAGAUCUCGAAUAGAACAAUUAGGUAUGCACAAACGAUUAUUAUAGAAGAGAUAUCCUUCUUGUCUAAAAUAAUGAUCCUUAGCAAAUUUUUUACAAGACUGAUAUUUCUCUUUAAAGUCAGAAUCGGAUGCAUAGAGAAGCUUAAGCUGUUCAAAUCCUAAAAGCUUGGCAUCAAGAGUGGUGAUUAGAGCAUACCUGCGUGACAAGGCAUCGGCAACUACAUUGUCUUUACCUUUCUUGUACUUGAUAACAUAAGGAAAUGUCUCAAUGAAUUCGAUCCAUCGGCCAUGUCGUUUGUUGAGCUUUUGUUGUCCUUUUAAAUGCUUGAGAGACUCAUGGUCGGUAUGAAUAACGAAUUCCUUGGGCCACAGAUUGUGUUGCCAUGUUUGAAGUGCUCGCACCAAGGCAUAAAGUUCUUUAUUGUAGGUAGGAUAGUUCAGCAUGGCUCCUCCGAGUUUUUCACUAAAGUAGGCCACGGGUUUCUUGUCUUGCAUUAAGACAGCUCCAAUUCCUACACCAGAAGCAUCACAUUCAAUCUCAAAAGUCUUAAGGAAAUCAGGUAAGACAAGUACCGGUGCAUUGGUUAGUUUAUCCUUAAGUAUUUGAAACGCUUCUUCUUGUGCUUGUUCCCACUUAAAUCCCACAUCUUUCUUGAUGAUCUCGGUU